UACGGAGGAUGCGAGCGUUAUCCGGAUUUAUUGGGUUUAAAGGGUGCGUAGGCGGAUUUUUAAGUCAGCGGUAAAAUGUCCGGGCUCAACCCGGGCCGGCCGUUGAAACUGGGGAUCUUGAGUAGGCGAGAAGUAUGCGGAAUGCGUGGUGUAGCGGUGAAAUGCGUAGAUAUCACGCAGAACUCCGAUUGCGAAGGCAGCAUACCGGCGCCCGACUGACGCUGAGGCACGAAAGCGUGGGGAUCGAACAGG
RNAcentral lists this ribosomal RNA (252 nucleotides) under uncultured bacterium. RNAcentral's name for it is "partial 16S ribosomal RNA". It matches the Rfam family "Bacterial small subunit ribosomal RNA", at positions 524 to 776 of the family's 1533-position model. The record is from RNAcentral.